CGCGUAGGUGGUAGUGUAAGUCUGGGGUGGAAUGCCGGGGCUUAACCCUGGAAUUGCCUUGGAAACUGCAUUACUUGAGUCAGUGAGGGGAGGGUAGAAUUCCUGGUGUAGCGGUGAAAUGCGUAGAUAUCAGGAGGAAGGCCUGUGGCGAAGGCGGCCCUCUGGUGCUGGACUGACACUGAGGCGCGGAAGCGUGGGGAGCAAACAGGAUUAGAUACCCUGGUAGUCCACGCCCUAAACGGUGGGCACUAGGUGUAGGGCUCGUAAGGGUUCUGUGCCGAAGGGAAACCAUUAAGUGCCCCGCCUGGGGAGUACGGCCGCAAGGUUGAA
RNAcentral lists this ribosomal RNA (330 nucleotides) under uncultured bacterium. RNAcentral describes it as "bacterial SSU rRNA". It matches the Rfam family "Bacterial small subunit ribosomal RNA", at positions 568 to 898 of the family's 1533-position model. The record is from RNAcentral.